AGCGAAACCACAGCCAAGGGAACGGAUUAAUGAGAUUCCCACUGUCCCUAAUUACUAUCUAGCGAAACCACAGCCAAGGGAACGGGCUUGGCAAAAUUAGCGGGGAAAGAAGACCCUGUUGAGCUUGACUUUAUUCAGAAUUUGUGAAAUGGUGCUCGAGGUAUAGAAUAGGUGGGAGUGUAACGAAAUUGAAAUACCACUACUUUUGACGUUGUUUUACUUAUUAAAUAAAAAACUAAAAGAUUAAUAAUCUUGAUUCUAGAAUUAACGAAUAUUACAUGUUGACUCCAUGUGGGUUAACCUCUGAUUUGGGAAGUUUGUUUAAGACAUUUUCUGGUGGGGAGUUUGGCUGGGGCGGCACAUCUGUUAAAAGAUAACACAGGUGUCCAAAGUAUAACUCAAUGAGAACGGAAUCUCAUGUAGAAUAAAAGGGUAAAAGUUAUAUUGAUUUUGAUUUU
This 458-nucleotide ribosomal RNA is filed under the name uncultured eukaryote. RNAcentral's name for it is "eukaryotic LSU rRNA". It matches the Rfam family "Eukaryotic large subunit ribosomal RNA", at positions 2279 to 2734 of the family's 3401-position model. The record is from RNAcentral.